UACGAAGGGGGCUAGCGUUGCUCGGAAUUACUGGGCGUAAAGCGCACGUAGGCGGCUUGUUAAGUCAGGGGUGAAAUCCUGGAGCUCAACUCCAGAACUGCCUUUGAUACUGGCGAGCUUGAGUUCGGGAGAGGUGAGUGGAACUGCGAGUGUAGAGGUGAAAUUCGUAGAUAUUCGCAAGAACACUAGUGGCGAAGGCGGCUCACUGGCCCGAUACUGACGCUGAGGUGCGAAAGCGUGGGGAGCAAACAGG
RNAcentral lists this ribosomal RNA (253 nucleotides) under uncultured bacterium. RNAcentral describes it as "partial 16S ribosomal RNA". It matches the Rfam family "Bacterial small subunit ribosomal RNA", at positions 524 to 776 of the family's 1533-position model. The record is from RNAcentral.